RNAcentral lists this ribosomal RNA (491 nucleotides) under uncultured bacterium. RNAcentral describes it as "partial 16S ribosomal RNA". It matches the Rfam family "Bacterial small subunit ribosomal RNA", at positions 29 to 507 of the family's 1533-position model. The record is from RNAcentral.
AGUGAACGCUGGCGGUAGGCCUAACACAUGCAAGUCGAACGGCAGCACAGUAAGAGCUUGCUCUUACGGGUGGCGAGUGGCGGACGGGUGAGGAAUACAUCGGAAUCUACUUUUUCGUGGGGGAUAACGUAGGGAAACUUACGCUAAUACCGCAUACGACCUACGGGUGAAAGCAGGGGAUCUUCGGACCUUGCGCGAUUGAAUGAGCCGAUGUCGGAUUAGCUAGUUGGCGGGGUAAAGGCCCACCAAGGCGACGAUCCGUAGCUGGUCUGAGAGGAUGAUCAGCCACACUGGAACUGAGACACGGUCCAGACGCCUACGGGAGGCAGCAGUGGGGAAUAUUGGACAAGGGGCGCAAGCCUGAUCCAGCAUACCGCGUGGGUGAAGAAGGCCUUCGGGUUGUAAAGCCCUUUUGUUGGGAAAGAAAAGCAGCAGGUUAAUACCCCGCUGUUCUGACGGUACCCAAAGAAUAAGCACCGGCUAACUUCGUG